Long non-coding RNA from Mesocricetus auratus (golden hamster), 599 nucleotides. RefSeq lists it as uncharacterized. The transcript has 2 exons. The record is from RefSeq and is a predicted model, not a curated record. Lineage: Eukaryota; Metazoa; Chordata; Mammalia; Rodentia; Cricetidae.
CCCCCAGGACAAUAUCCCAUGAAGCCUCCCGUUGCAGAUGGCUGGAGCAGCAGAGACCUCCUGACAAGAAGAAGAUAACAAGACGUCAAUGUCACUUUGUUGUCAUGGAUCUAGAAUUCUAUACUCUCUUCUUGCAUGGAUAAAGGAAAGAUACCUUAAUUGAAGUUAUGACAUUAAGUGAACGUCCUAUGCACAUGAUGUUCAUCCUUGUUUCCUGUUUCUGUUUUUGGAGAGUGUUCCAGCAGUCGUGUGGGGAAAGCAAAUACUGAUUUGUCCAUGUCAGGACGUCAGGAUCGCUGACUGUGGAAAAGAAAAGACAGAUGACAUCCAGAGCUGUUCUGAUGAGUGACCUUGUGGCAAGACCUUAGUUUGUGAAUCAAUUAAUCCCUGAGAAUAUCCAACGCAGUCCUUCCUAGAGUUGUUCCUCAGGCAGAAUUUACAUAUUGGAGAAAUAGAUCCCAAAGUUUCUCAUCUUCCUAUCACUAGAUGUAUAGUUCUGUCUACCAUACAUAAUCCAAAGGUUUUUAAACAAUUGUAUACAGAUUAUGAAUGUCCAUAAAGAAAAAUAAAGACUUCGGUCUCCAAAAUCCCUACUAUAA